GAUGAACGCUGGCGGCGUGCUUAACACAUGCAAGUCGAACGAAACACCUUAUUUGAUUUUCUUCGGAACUGAAGAUUUGGUGAUUGAGUGGCGGACGGGUGAGUAACGCGUGGGUAACCUGCCCUGUACAGGGGGAUAACAGUCAGAAAUGACUGCUAAUACCGCAUAAGACCACAGCACCGCAUGGUGCAGGGGUAAAAACUCCGGUGGUACAGGAUGGACCCGCGUCUGAUUAGCUGGUUGGUGAGGUAACGGCUCACCAAGGCGACGAUCAGAAGCCGGCUUGAGAGAGUGAACGGCCACAUUGGGACUGAGACACGGCCCAAACUCCUACGGGAGGCAGCAGUGGGGAAUAUUGCACAAUGGGGGAAACCCUGAUGCAGCGACGCCGCGUGAGUGAAGAAGUAUUUCGGUAUGUAAAGCUCUAUCAGCAGGGAAGAAAAUGACGGUACCUGACUAAGAAGCCCCGGCUAACUACGUG
RNAcentral lists this ribosomal RNA (481 nucleotides) under uncultured bacterium. RNAcentral's name for it is "partial 16S ribosomal RNA". It matches the Rfam family "Bacterial small subunit ribosomal RNA", at positions 28 to 507 of the family's 1533-position model. The record is from RNAcentral.